CCUACGGGUGACAGCAGUGAGGAAUAUUGGUCAAUGGACGAGAGUCUGACCCAGCAAUGCCGCGUGAAUGAUGACUGCCCUCUGGGUUUUAAACUCCUUUUACAUGGGAGUAAAACAGGGUAUGCAUACCCUCUUGUAUGUACCAUAUGAAUAAGGAUCGGCUAACUCAGUGCCAGCAGCGCCGGCAAUAUGGAGGAUCCGUGCGUUAGCCGGAUGUAUUGGGUUGAUGGGGAGCGGAGGGGGAUUGGUAAGUCAGUUGUGAAAGUUUGGGGCUCAACCGGAGUAUUGCAGGUGAAACUGGCAGUCUUGAGUACAGUAGAGGUGGGCGGAAUUCGUGGUGUAGCGGUGAAAUGCUUAGAUAUCACGAAGAACUCCGAUUGCGAAGGCGGCUAACUGGACUGCAACUGACACUGAUGCUCGAAAGUGUGGGUAUCAAACAGGAUUAGAUACCCUUGUAGUC
Molecule: ribosomal RNA, 460 nt
Filed under: uncultured bacterium
Lineage: Bacteria
Description: partial 16S ribosomal RNA
Rfam family: Bacterial small subunit ribosomal RNA
Source: RNAcentral